UAUUAAGAGAUCAUCCUCAUCCAUCAGAUCAUCCUCAUCAGCGUUAAAAUUUGCACCGUUAGUUAUCCAAUCAUCAUCUUCUAGGAUUUUCUCAGUAUUCGGAUCCUCUACCUCUUGAUUCUUCAUCUCAUUGCCCAAAUCAGACUGCACCUCAAUCGAUUGCUCCAUUAGUCCCUCUUCCUCUAAAGUUUGUUCAUACCAGCUUUUCCUUUUUUCUUUCUCAGGAUUGGCAGACACUGCCGGUAUGAUAGAUUUCUUCAAAGAUUCAGCAUGAGGUGAUUCUCGCUCAAACCUGAGACUUUUUUUUUGCAGAGCUUCCCACUUCAGAUCUAGAAGCGUCGAACAGGUCUGCGACUUUGCCUUUCAGUUUUUGAUCAUCGGUAGAUUUUCUUUGAAGUGUAUGUCUGAAAGGUCUUUCUCUGAUAUGUUCAGGCGAUGAAUUGGUGAGUCGGGCCACCUAAGAUGGAGCAGAUACCGCUUUUUUCGGUUCCUUAGCCAUGGCAGUAAGAUGAGCCCGAGACUUUUCAGGUGCCCGCUCUCCUUCGUCCCUUCUUUUUGCAACUAUUUGCUUGUUUUCCAUUUUUCUUUCCGCCUCUCUGUGUUUGCUUGAUGCAAAAGACUCUUCGUAUCUCCUCUUAUUGUAGGUUUCAUUAGGUUUCUGUAAUUUUUCAAGAUCACGGGGUGCUUGACGGGGUUCCCGUCGGUAGUCAUCUCUCGGAGCAUAACAGGAGUCAAUGCGCUUCCACACGCUAUCCUUGUUGUCUCUUUGAGGUCUCUCUCCUGGAUGGUUGUCUUAAAGGUUUGAUGUCUUCUCAUCAUUGGUAAAUCGUUUUGAAAUCUCUUCAUAUCGCAUUCCUUCCUUCCUAAUGAAACCACUUUGCUCUCUAAUGGUUUCUUUAGCCAACAGUCUCUGUUUUCUUUCUUCUUCAGAUAGCAGGGGACAGUUUUCAACUUCGUGGGAGAUGAGAUGACAGUUGUGACACCAACAGAACAAGUUUACAUAUUCGAAAGAGACUGGGACUAUUUCUCCUGAGGGGAUUUGAGCACGAAGAGAGAACUUUAGUGGUUGGUCUCCAUCGAUCUCGACUUGGAACUUUGCCGCUCUCGCAUCAAUCUUUCCAACAAGUCCGAGCUUUUUCCCGAAAGUGUAGAAGAUCAGGUCCAUCCAGAAGUGUGUUGGUAUCCCCGUCACACAAACCCAAAAGGUCAUGGUGUUUGGGAAUGAGUCACCAACAUGAGGAGCCCAUCUCUCAAGAGAAAAUGACCACUUAUUAAAGUGGCAGGGGCGCUUACUUAAAACCUUCAGGAGGUCAGCCUCUGAAUCGAAAUCGAAUUGGAAUCUGUGGUUUCCAAGGUCUACCCCACGAACGCGACCUUCCACGUCCCAGAUACUGUGUCGAGGGAGGAAGGCUAUAAGAGCUUCCACAUUGCACCUCUCCUUGUUGAAAAUCCUACCAACCAAGCUAAGGUGAUAACGAGCAAUCAACUCAGAGUUGUCUACGUCGGACAGUAGGGAGAGAGAAGGCUGUAGAUCUGAGCUUUAAACGGUCAGACAAGCUUGAGUAUGAGAAGAAGGGCCGUUGACAGAGCUUGAAACGCCUUUAAAAAUCUUCCUUUGUAGGAGCUAGGACCUAUCAAAGGAAGCGAUAGAACAAGAGAAGUGCAUGAACUGGGCUUGUCUACAGGUUGUAGAAAGGUUUGGAUAUAGAGCCAUGGUUGCAGAAUGGACACAUCUGAGAUUACGAUGGAGAUAACAUCGGUGGGAAAUGAGACACAACGAAAGAAAUAGUGAAAAAACGUCGCCGGAAUAACUAGAUCUAGCUUUCUCCACCGUCCGUACAAGGUUUCAGCGGAGGGGCUUCAUUCUCGAGAGUGUGGUUGAGCUGUAUUGGGAAUCAUGUCUGGGAGCUUUUGACUUUUAGGAUUCUCUACUGUGAUUGUCAUUACGUGCACUGUCUUAGAGCCUUAAUAAUUAAGAACACAAAUUUUUA
This is a long non-coding RNA of Brassica napus (rape), 1991 nucleotides long. RefSeq lists it as uncharacterized. Lineage: Eukaryota; Viridiplantae; Streptophyta; Magnoliopsida; Brassicales; Brassicaceae. The record is from RefSeq and is a predicted model, not a curated record. The transcript is spliced from 3 exons.